This 581-nucleotide ribosomal RNA is filed under the name Aspergillus nidulans. Its description in RNAcentral is "SSU rRNA". It matches the Rfam family "Eukaryotic small subunit ribosomal RNA", at positions 194 to 782 of the family's 1831-position model. Lineage: Eukaryota; Fungi; Ascomycota; Eurotiomycetes; Eurotiales; Aspergillaceae. The record is from RNAcentral.
GGAAGGGGUGUAUUUAUUAGAUAAAAAACCAAUGCCCCUCGGGGCUCCUUGGUGAUUCAUAAUAACUUAACGAAUCGCAUGGCCUUGCGCCGGCGAUGGUUCAUUCAAAUUUCUGCCCUAUCAACUUUCGAUGGUAGGAUAGUGGCCUACCAUGGUGGCAACGGGUAACGGGGAAUUAGGGUUCGAUUCCGGAGAGGGAGCCUGAGAAACGGCUACCACAUCCAAGGAAGGCAGCAGGCGCGCAAAUUACCCAAUCCCGACACGGGGAGGUAGUGACAAUAAAUACUGAUACGGGGCUCUUUUGGGUCUCGUAAUUGGAAUGAGAACAAUUUAAAUCCCUUAACGAGGAACAAUUGGAGGGCAAGUCUGGUGCCAGCAGCCGCGGUAAUCCCAGCUCCAAUAGCGUAUAUUAAAGUUGUUGCAGUUAAAAAGCUCGUAGUUGAACCUUGGGUCUGGCUGGCCGGUCCGCCUCACCGCGAGUACUGGUCCGGCUGGACUUUCCUUCUGGGGAACCCAUGGCCUUCACUGGCUGUGGGGGGAACCAGGACUUUUACUGUGAAAAAAUUAGAGUGUUCAAAGCA